GGAGGUAAAAUUAAACCUAACUUAGAUAGAUAGAUAGAUAGAUAGAUAGAUAGAUAGAUAGAUAGAUAGAUAGAUAGAUAGAUAGCCAAACAGACAGACAGGCAGAUAGAUAGAACGACAGACAGACAGAAAGACAGAUAAAUACCACCUUAAAUACCUUUUCUCAUGAUUGGAUACACCUGGCUAUGAAGUUCAAAGCUCAGUGAGGUUAACAAACCAAUUUUGUGCUUCAGUAAGUCAGUAAAAAGCAGUAAUAGGGAGUAUUCAAAUCCAUAAAAUGAUAAGGGUGCCCAUACUUUUGCACCGGUCAAAUUUUGGUUGAAUGCAUAUUGCACAUUUUCUUCAAUCCUGAAAUAUUACUGUGCCCAUCAGUAAUUAGAUAUAUCAAACUGAAAUGGCUGUUAGAAACACCCAAAUAUUUAGAACUAAAAAUGAUUAAGAUUAAUAGGGGAGCCCAAACUUUUUCAUAUGACUGGAUAUAAUGAUGAGUUGAUGAGUAAAAUAUGAUACACUUGGCUUUAAUAGGUUAAGAGAUGUUCUCCAGUGAUAACAGUGAUCAUUUUCCCACCUGUUCUUCUCACCUUCUCAAGCUUUUCUAUCUACUCAGUCUUUGAUGGAUCCAUUGGACCUAGCAGUGACUGAUGGGUUAAGCGAUCUCGAUGUGAGGCUCCUGCAAGUCAUUAGUGCACCUACUCUUCCUCCUCCUCCUCCUCCUCCUCCAACUCCUCCUCCAACUCCUGCAGGUACACUGAGCACAGUACAUAUAUAUACUGAGGGUUCAGGUUCUGGUAAUUACACCUGUAUAACAUGUUUAUAACUAUUUUCAUUCUUUAUAACAGAGAGCAGCGUCAGGUUCCUGAUCUCCUCCUCUGAUCAGACCUCACCGCUCUGCUAUGACCUUAAUGUUCCAGAAAAACUGAACCUCCUGAAAGAUCCUGCUUCAGGUGAGGCGUCCUGUUCGUACACUUAGGGCGUUUUUUUAAUACCAGCACUAUUUGAUUCCGUUAAAACGGAC
This 1015-nucleotide long non-coding RNA is filed under the name Astyanax mexicanus (Mexican tetra). RNAcentral describes it as "lncRNA (ENSAMXG00005008561.1)". Lineage: Eukaryota; Metazoa; Chordata; Actinopteri; Characiformes; Acestrorhamphidae. The record is from RNAcentral.